GUCCACGCCCUAAACGAUGAAUACUCGCUGUUAGCGAUAUACAGUUAGCGGCUAAGCGAAAGCGUUAAGUAUUCCACCUGGGGAGUACGCCCGCAAGGGUGAAACUCAAAGGAAUUGACGGGGGCCCGCACAAGCGGAGGAGCAUGUGGUUUAAUUCGAUGAUACGCGAGGAACCUUACCCGGGCUUGAAAGUUAGUGAAGUUACCAGAGAUGGUAGCGUCCGCAAGGACACGAAACUAGGUGCUGCAUGGCUGUCGU
This 258-nucleotide ribosomal RNA is filed under the name uncultured bacterium. RNAcentral describes it as "partial 16S ribosomal RNA". It matches the Rfam family "Bacterial small subunit ribosomal RNA", at positions 793 to 1055 of the family's 1533-position model. The record is from RNAcentral.